Molecule: ribosomal RNA, 497 nt
Filed under: uncultured bacterium
Lineage: Bacteria
Description: partial 16S ribosomal RNA
Rfam family: Bacterial small subunit ribosomal RNA
Source: RNAcentral
GAUGAACGCUGGCGGCGUGCCUAAUACAUGCCAGUCGAGCGAACGGACGAGAAGCUUGCUUUUCUGAUGUUAGCGGCGGACGGGUGAGUAACACGUGGAUAACCUACCUAUCAGACUGGGAUAACUUCGGGAAACCGGAGCUAAUACCGGAUAAUAUUUUGAACCGCAUGGUUCAAAAGUGAAAGACGGUCUUGCUGUCACUUAUAGAUGGAUCCGCGCUGCAUUAGCUAGUUGGUAAGGUAACGGCUUACCAAGGCAACGAUGCAUAGCCGACCUGAGAGGGGGAUCGGCCACACUGGAACUGAGACACGGACCAGACGCCUACGGGAGGGAGCAGUAGGGAAUCGUCCGCAAUGGGCGAAAGCCUGACGGAGCAACGCCGCGUGAGUGAUGAAGGUCUUCGGAUCGUAAAGCUGUGUUAUGAGGGAAGAACAUAUGUGUAAGUAACUGUGCGCAGCGUGACGGUACCUAAUCAGAAAGCCACGGCUAACUACGUG